Molecule: ribosomal RNA, 387 nt
Filed under: uncultured bacterium
Lineage: Bacteria
Description: bacterial SSU rRNA
Rfam family: Bacterial small subunit ribosomal RNA
Source: RNAcentral
GACGAACGCUGGCGGCGUGCUUAACACAUGCAAGUCGAGCGGUAAGGCCCGUUUCGGGGGUACACGAGCGGCGAACGGGUGAGUAACACGUGGGUGACCUGCCCUUAGCUCUGGGAUAAGCCUGGGAAACUGGGUCUAAUACCGGAUAUGACCUCAUGACUCAUGUUGUGGGGUGGAAAGCCUUGUGCGGCUAGGGAUGGGCCCGCGGCCUAUCAGCUUGUUGGUGGGGUAAUUGCCACCAAGGCGACGACGGGUAGCCGGCCUGAGAGGGCGACCGGCCACACUGGGACUGAGACACGGCCCAGACUCCUACGGGAGGCGAGCAGUGGGGAAUCGUUGCGCAAUGGGCGAAAGCCUGACGCAGCGACGCCGCGUGAGGGAUGACGG